UCUUUUAUUGGCGAAUCAAAGCGCGAUUGACUCACAGAUGGCAAGUAUGUAAAAAUGAUGAUGGGAAAUUUGACAUCCGUCAAACUACGGUGAAUUUUUUGGGGUUUACGAAACCUUCUCUAAUAUCUUCAACACGGAAUCCAAAACGGCAAGAAAAACGUUAGAAAAGAAAAAAUAUAUUGUUCACGCGUGCCUGAGCUAUUUUGGUGCAUCCGGAAAUUUUACCACCUUUUUCAAAAUUCCCUAUCCAGUGUUUCAUAAAUGAAAGCAGCUCUUGCACUUCUCCGAAAACGAGGCCACCGGGCCUUGCGUUGAGUUACGCGCCCAUCCAGUUUGCAUCAGUGCGAGCGAGAAAACGUUUUGACGUUUGUUUUUGUUUCGAUCGCACUCGUGUGUAUCCCAUAUAGCAAGAACUCGACGAAAUGCUACACGCCACCGAAAAACUACCUAAAAUUCAGUACUUUUGACUCAAUCUCGUGGUAUCGCACAGGAAGGUAAAAUUAGGAGUUCCCUGUCCGACCAGUGCCAGACUACCACUAAGCGACCGCCAUCACCCUUACCACUAUGCCUGCAUAGAAGGAAACUGAAGCGAGCGCGACUCGAGGUCCGAUGACUCUUGAAGGAUUCCCCGUUGAUCCGAUGAAUACCAUCCGUCAAUCCGGUACUCGACGACCUACUAGGCUGAGGCUCUAAUUUGUGUCGCCGAUCUCCCGUUUGCCCGAAAAUUGCAAGUUUUGCUCUUCCUUCCCUGUCAUUAUAUACACCUUGUCCUUGAUACAAGUGCUGCUACAUCGAUGUUUGAAAUAAGCCCCCCUCUGAAUACCUUGAGCAAGCAUAAGUAAUCGUUAAAAAAACAAAUUUGUGUUCUGUAUUUUCUAAGAUGGCUGCAAUUUUUAUUCUUCAUUAAAACUAUUGUCCCCUAUUUUGUAAUAGAAUUGUUGUUGUGUAGUUUGAAACUUGUUCCCCCUUUUGUAUACCAAACUAUAUUUUUAAAACUGUUACUCCCCCUCUUGUAUAUCAAACUAGAUUGCUUGCUUUAAAAAUUUUCGCAAAAAAUCUUGUAUAUUGAAUUGUAUUUCUAGUCUUAAGAUGGCUGAAGAAUUGUUCCUCUUAAUAUAAAAAAUAUCUGAACAUUGUAACCUCCUAUAGUUUUGAGAAUUUAAAAUGUAAAAACAAAAUAAUUUGGCACCGCCAAGCAUUUGUGCCUACACUGAAAAGAA
This is a long non-coding RNA of Topomyia yanbarensis, 1220 nucleotides long. RefSeq lists it as uncharacterized. The transcript is spliced from 4 exons. The record is from RefSeq and is a predicted model, not a curated record. Lineage: Eukaryota; Metazoa; Arthropoda; Insecta; Diptera; Culicidae.